UACAGAGGUCUCAAGCGUUGUUCGGAAUCACUGGGCUUAAAGGGCGCGUAGGCGGUCCGACAAGUCAGGGGUGAAAUCCUGCAGCUUAACUGCAGAAGUGCCUUUGAUACUGUCGGUCUUGAGGGAGAUAGGGGUGUGCGGAACUCACAGUGGAGCGGUGAAAUGCGUUGAUAUUGUGAGGAACGCCGGAGGCGAAAGCGGCGCACUGGAUCUCUUCUGACGCUGAGGCGCGAAGGUCAGGGGAGCAAACGGG
This 253-nucleotide ribosomal RNA is filed under the name uncultured bacterium. Its description in RNAcentral is "partial 16S ribosomal RNA". It matches the Rfam family "Bacterial small subunit ribosomal RNA", at positions 524 to 776 of the family's 1533-position model. The record is from RNAcentral.